Molecule: ribosomal RNA, 1353 nt
Filed under: Pseudoschizothecium atropurpureum
Lineage: Eukaryota; Fungi; Ascomycota; Sordariomycetes; Sordariales; Schizotheciaceae
Description: eukaryotic LSU rRNA
Rfam family: Eukaryotic large subunit ribosomal RNA
Source: RNAcentral
CGGAGGAAAAGAAACCAACAGGGAUUGCCCUAGUAACGGCGAGUGAAGCGGCAACAGCUCAAAUUUGAAAUCUGGCUCCGGCCCGAGUUGUAAUUUGCAGAGGAAGCAUUUGGUGCGGUAUUCUCCGAGUCCCCUGGAAUGGGGCGCCAGAGAGGGUGAGAGCCCCGUAGGAUUGAAUACCUAGCCUGUGUGAAGCUCCUUCGACGAGUCGAGUAGUUUGGGAAUGCUGCUCUAAAUGGGAGGUAAAUUCCUUCUAAAGCUAAAUAUUGGCCAGAGACCGAUAGCGCACAAGUAGAGUGAUCGAAAGAUGAAAAGCACUUUGAAAAGAGGGUUAAAUAGCACGUGAAAUUGUUGAAAGGGAAGCGCCUGUGACCAGACUUGCGCCCAGCGGAUCAUCCGGUGUUCUCACCGGUGCACUCCGCUUGGCUCAGGCCAGCAUCGGUUCUGGUGGGGGGAUAAAGGUUCCGGGAAUGUAGCUCUUUCGGGAGUGUUAUAGCCCGGGGCGCAAUGCCCUCGCCGGGACCGAGGACCGCGCGAAAGCAAGGAUGCUGGCGUAAUGGUCACCAGCGACCCGUCUUGAAACACGGACCAAGGAGUCAAGGUUUUGCGCGAGUGUUUGGGUGUCAAACCCGCACGCGUAAUGAAAGUGAACGUAGGUGAGAGCUUCGGCGCAUCAUCGACCGAUCCUGAUGUACUCGGAUGGAUUUGAGUAGGAGCGUUAAGCCUUGGACCCGAAAGAUGGUGAACUAUGCUUGGAUAGGGUGAAGCCAGAGGAAACUCUGGUGGAGGCUCGCAGCGGUUCUGACGUGCAAAUCGAUCGUCAAAUCUGAGCAUGGGGGCGAAAGACUAAUCGAACCAUCUAGUAGCUGGUUACCGCCGAAGUUUCCCUCAGGAUAGCAGUGUUGUUCUUCAGUUUUAUGAGGUAAAGCGAAUGAUUAGGGACUCGGGGGCGAUUUUUAGCCUUCAUCCAUUCUCAAACUUUAAAUAUGUAAGAAGCCCUUGUUACUUAGUUGAACGUGGGCCUUCGAAUGUAUCAACACUAGUGGGCCAUUUUUGGUAAGCAGAACUGGCGAUGCGGGAUGAACCGAACGCGAGGUUAAGGUGCCGGAGUGGACGCUCAUCAGACACCACAAAAGGCGUUAGUACAUCUUGACAGCAGGACGGUGGCCAUGGAAGUCGGAAUCCGCUAAGGACUGUGUAACAACUCACCUGCCGAAUGUACUAGCCCUGAAAAUGGAUGGCGCUCAAGCGUCCCACCCAUACCUCGCCCUCAGGGUAGGAUCUAUGCCCUGAGGAGUAGGCGGCCGUGGGGGUUGUGACGAAGCCUAGGGCGUGAGCCCGGGUCGAACAGCC